AAUUAAAUUCGUAGGGUACAGAGGUAAGAUGUUCUAUCUUUCAGCACUAAUGCGCUUAACAGCUUACUUAGUGGCCAGAAAGAAAGGCUUAUUUAGCCGCCCCACUGCUUGCAGUGGGGCGUUUUUUU
RNAcentral lists this non-coding RNA (128 nucleotides) under Rheinheimera sp. A13L. The record is from RNAcentral. Lineage: Bacteria; Pseudomonadati; Pseudomonadota; Gammaproteobacteria; Chromatiales; Chromatiaceae.